CCAUUUUGAUGUCAAUCCUAAAGGAUGGAGGUUGUUUGCUGAUCUUUUGGAAAAUGCUGCCUUUGGAUUGGAGAUUUUGACUCCUGCUUUUCCUCAUCUCUUUGUUUUCAUUGGUGCUGCUGCUGGAGCUGGGCGCUCUGCUGCUGCUCUUAUCCAGGCUGCUACAAGGAGCUGUUUCUAUGCUGGUUUUGCUGCUCAAAGGAACUUUGCUGAGGUAAUUGCAAAGGGUGAAGCUCAAGGAAUGGUGAGCAAGUUUAUAGGCAUCAUGCUUGGUAUAGCACUAG
RNAcentral lists this unclassified non-coding RNA (284 nucleotides) under Hevea brasiliensis (rubber tree). Lineage: Eukaryota; Viridiplantae; Streptophyta; Magnoliopsida; Malpighiales; Euphorbiaceae. The record is from RNAcentral.